RNAcentral lists this long non-coding RNA (213 nucleotides) under Physcomitrium patens. RNAcentral describes it as "long non-coding RNA (PPAT_LNC002295)". The record is from RNAcentral. Lineage: Eukaryota; Viridiplantae; Streptophyta; Bryopsida; Funariales; Funariaceae.
UAGUUUAGCAGUGGCUAUAGCAUCUGUGUGAUUGGAAUAAAAUGGUAUUAUUAACAAAAAUGAGGUUUGAACUAAGGGCUGAUGAACGUGCCUAAGAUGGUUUAUAUUGAAACAUGAAUCAAAACACAAAAAGUUCAAUUUUUCUUCAUUAUAGGCAUCUUCUUGGAAGUGAAAAGGUAAAUUAUAAUUUGGGUAAAAUUAAGAAUGCUUAAU